Hydractinia symbiolongicarpus is the source of this 345-nucleotide long non-coding RNA. RefSeq lists it as uncharacterized. NCBI's taxonomy places the organism in Eukaryota, Metazoa, Cnidaria, Hydrozoa, Anthoathecata, Hydractiniidae. The record is from RefSeq and is a predicted model, not a curated record. The transcript is spliced from 2 exons.
UCUCUUAAUAUUUGCACUUGGAAAGCUUUUGAAGGCAAAAUUUUAUUAAUUUGAACGUUUACAAUGCGCAAAAACGUGUUAUAUUUAUGGCUUCAUUAAACAGAAGAUUUUAAAGUACCAAAUUAUCAGCUUGAAUUGGCAUGUUUGUGGUAUUCUUUUCAUACAGCAGAAGAAAAGUGAGUUGCGAAGAUUGCGUACAAUGAGAGCGAGAGAUGUUAUCUUUCAAUACGUGAGAUAAAAAGAAGAAAGCGAAACCUCAUCCCGCGUUGUUAUUGUUUUUCUGUCAAAAACUUGAAGCUGUUUUAUAAAUCUUGAUAAAGUUAAUAAAUUGUUUUCGUUUCUGUA